This 340-nucleotide unclassified non-coding RNA is filed under the name uncultured fungus. RNAcentral's name for it is "partial contains small subunit ribosomal RNA, internal transcribed spacer 1, and 5.8S ribosomal RNA". The stretch from base 1 to 73 matches the Rfam family "Eukaryotic small subunit ribosomal RNA", at positions 1759 to 1831 of the family's 1831-position model. Lineage: Eukaryota; Fungi. The record is from RNAcentral.
UCAAACUUGGUCAUUUAGAGGAAGUAAAAGUCGUAACAAGGUUUCCGUAGGUGAACCUGCGGAAGGAUCAUUACUGAGUGGCUGGAGCUCCCCGCUUGCGGGGGGCCGGUUACCCGACCUUUUGUCAUGUGGGCCGCGCGUCCGGACCUCUCGGGGGCCGGCGCCGGCAUCUUCAGGUUCGGCGGAAGCGGUGGGGUGCCUCCUGGCGCCCUGCCCGCCGCCGGUCGUAUUCUCCAACUCUUGUUGUGUAACGGAUGAAGUCUGACGUGAAAACAAACCAAAAAAAAGCAAAACUUUCAACAACGGAUCUCUUGGCUCUGGCAUCGAUGAAGAACGCAGC